GGAUUAUAUAAAUAGGUAGGCUGGGGAACAAACCAAGACCAUCCCUUAUGUGGGAACUUAGCUUACAGAUGGUGUUAAUCCAGUGAGUCUGGGUCUUCCAGAGUCAUACUCAGAACUUUAGAGGAUAUCUUGGCCAUUCCUUUUUUUAGGCUGCAGUGAAUCUGAGGCAAAGGAGAAAGCAGCUUGCCUAAAGUCAUAGAAAGUUGGCAGUCAUAGCCAAAUUGCUUGGCUCUCAAGCUCAGUGCUUUUCCAUGGUAGCCUGUCAACUCCUUUGAACAAGAAUGAGUAUCAAGGUUUGGGAACCCAUCACCUUGUUACUUGAAGGGCAACGCAAGGUCCCAUCUCCCCUGUAUACUAUCCACCCCUAACCUCCAACUGAGGCAUCCUCUCUUUUGCCUGGGAUGCAGAUUUUAGAUAAAUUUCAGGUUUGGACAAUGGGUAAAUGCUGAUACUGGGUUUCCUCAAUAUGAAUAAGUUGGCUAAAUUAACAUGUCGGAGCCUUGGACCGUGGGAAGCCCAGUGAGUUGGAGGCUGCAGAACCAGUGAGGACUGGAGGACAUAGAAUGGUGGUGGCAAGUGACAGCAGAGGACUUCACGUUAGAUUUGAUUCCCUAGGCUAAAAGGAAACAUUGCACAGGAGCGGCAGGGCAGGAAGCAUGCUUUAUGAAGAUUUACCCGGCAGCAGUGCUUUCUCAUACAUCAUGUCAUCUGAGCCUCACGACAACCCUGGAGGAGGAAGUGCAGCAGACCUUACUGACCUUCACACAAUGAGGACACAAUGAAGACUUGGAUGAAUAAAAGGGUGAAGCCAGAAUUUGUCCAUGACUCUCAAUUGCCACUUUGUUUUCAAUGAACAUUGUUGACUGGCAACAGGCUUGACCGAAUUGAGUCUUGCCUCCCGUCCAACAGGUCCUGCCUCCAUUUUAUCCUUCUUUUGUCUCCCUCAA
RNAcentral lists this long non-coding RNA (947 nucleotides) under Callithrix jacchus (white-tufted-ear marmoset). Its description in RNAcentral is "lncRNA (ENSCJAG00000077138.1)". The record is from RNAcentral. Lineage: Eukaryota; Metazoa; Chordata; Mammalia; Primates; Cebidae.